Linepithema humile (Argentine ant) is the source of this 412-nucleotide non-coding RNA. The record is from RefSeq and is a predicted model, not a curated record. Lineage: Eukaryota; Metazoa; Arthropoda; Insecta; Hymenoptera; Formicidae.
CGCCAUCGAUGACGAAGUAUUCGGCGAUCCAUAAAAUGGGGAUCGGCAGGCCCUUCUGUUGGCCUUCGCGGAAGGUCCUCUGUAGCAAUCCGGCUGUAAAAAUUCCAAUCGCUUAGACUCUAAUAAGAAUCACUUGGAAUUAUGUGUACUUGGACAAAUGCUUAUCGAUAUUUGCAUUCACCAUCAAAUUCCUGAAGAAUGCAUCUUUAUUUUCAAUUUAUUCUAAAUAUUACCUUCCAGUGUGAUGUUCACCGACCUCAAUCCUAUCUUGACUUCCAUUUGGGCGUCGAUUUCCUGGCCCACACCAGCUCGAUAUGGCGUCUUACUCCUCGUGCUGCCGUAUUCCCAUUCCUGUCCGAAAUUCUCUACUGCAAAGUUAGAUGAAUGCUAGAUAAAUUCUACGUAUCAUAUA